This 342-nucleotide long non-coding RNA is filed under the name Dasypus novemcinctus (nine-banded armadillo). RNAcentral describes it as "lncRNA (ENSDNOG00000050010.1)". The record is from RNAcentral. Lineage: Eukaryota; Metazoa; Chordata; Mammalia; Cingulata; Dasypodidae.
GUAGGCUUCAGUUUUUCAUGCUUCAGCAACAUCUUUAUGUUCUUGGCCCCUCAGGGAAAGAAGAAAGAGAAAAUGAAUGAACGAGUAGUAGGAAGAGAAAGAAGAUGGGGCACUUGGAGACACUGUCUGUCUAGUGGCCUUUAGCGCUGAAGCUUCCUUCCUCAGCAGUGACAGGAAAAUAGCCCAUCAGAGACCAGGACCUUGAUAGGCUCUGGGAUGGUGAGUCAGAGCUGGAUCUACAUUGUUGAUGUGCAGGAGGGGGAGCUCUUUGAAAAGCCCAAAGCCUGGAGGAAGGUAAGUUAUAAGCCACCUUGCCUGCUGGAGAACUAACCUAGUCCACCU